Molecule: ribosomal RNA, 253 nt
Filed under: uncultured bacterium
Lineage: Bacteria
Description: partial 16S ribosomal RNA
Rfam family: Bacterial small subunit ribosomal RNA
Source: RNAcentral
UACGAAGGGGGCUAGCGUUGCUCGGAAUCACUGGGCGUAAAGCGCACGUAGGCGGAUUGCUAAGUCAGGGGUGAAAUCCUGGAGCUCAACUCCAGGACUGCCUUUGAUACUGGCGAUCUUGAGUCCGGGAGAGGUGAGUGGAACUGCGAGUGUAGAGGUGAAAUUCGUAGAUAUUCGCAAGAACACCAGUGGCGAAGGCGGCUCACUGGCCCGGUACUGACGCUGAGGUGCGAAAGCGUGGGGAACAAACAGG